This 117-nucleotide microRNA precursor is filed under the name Poecilia formosa (Amazon molly). Its description in RNAcentral is "miRNA (ENSPFOG00000021252.1)". Lineage: Eukaryota; Metazoa; Chordata; Actinopteri; Cyprinodontiformes; Poeciliidae. The record is from RNAcentral.
UUAUAGUACAAUAAACCAGCCACCUUAUCUUCAGUGGUUAUUAAAAUGCUGUGUGUGUGUGUGUGUGUGUAUAUAUACAUAUACACACACACACACACACAUAUAUAUAUAUCUAUA